This is an RNA transcript of Penaeus chinensis, 1154 nucleotides long. It is a transcript of the gene named glycine-rich cell wall structural protein 2-like, with no coding region annotated. The record is from RefSeq and is a predicted model, not a curated record. The transcript has 2 exons. Lineage: Eukaryota; Metazoa; Arthropoda; Malacostraca; Decapoda; Penaeidae.
UGAAGGGCGUGGUCUCCUGUAGUAAGGGCGAGGGGCUUAGGGUGGGGGAGAAGGCGACGUCGAAGUGCAUCAACACCGUCUUAUUUUGAUUCAGAGUGACGUGACUGGCGUUUGUCCAGCGCGCGGUCGUGUUAGCCGCGGCGGUGACCGUGGUCUUGGCUGCAAUACUUGUGUCCGCCGAUCCCGACCCCGGAUUCAAGAAAGGAUACGGCAGAAGACACGUGGGAUACGGUAAAGGAGGACACGGCAAGGGACACGUCAAGGGCUACGGGAAAGGACAAGGUGGAUACGGUCACGGAGGAGGAGGAGGAGGAGGAGGAUACGGACACAGCUCAGGAGGAUACGGGAAAGGACACGGUGGCUACGGCAAAGGAAUCGGUAAAGGUUUCAAAGGGUUUUACAAAGGACUGAAAGGCUUUUCCACGGGGUUUAAAAGCUUCUACAAAGGUGGACACAAGGGAUACGGCGGAGGAAAAGGGGGGUAUGGCAAAGGCAAAGGCCACGGGGGUUAUGGAAAAGGUAGCGGUAAGGGCAAAGGUCACGGAGGGUAUGGCCACAGGUGAAGAACCAAUGUGUAGAACUCAAAAGAUAUUUCAAAACAAUAUCACAAUAUAUCAGCGUUAAUCGUUGAAUCUCUAUGUUAUUAGUGUUGAUAUAAUAGUUUCUAUUCCACCGCACCCAUUUCUCUUGCUAUUAUAUACGAAAUUAUCAGGAGUGCUGAAGAGGAAUGGUUUUCUUCCAGUAAAAGUGUAUGAGUAGGGAAAUGCGAUGAUGUUAAUAAUAAUGUAGAGAUGGUAUGUAAGCUACUCCUGGUAAAUCUAACAGUUGUUUGGCAUUCAGCUGCUUUCUAGUGAAAUUAUUUGUUAAAGAAUUAAGAAAAUGCAAAAUUUGAUUGGACUGUAUCCCCUUGUAUGAAGUUUGCACGAUUAAUAUUGUAGAUUUCAUUUGCUUUUCCGUCCAAUUACUGGAAAACUUACAAUGAUAGAUAUAGCUUUAUGCCAUCAUACAAUCUUGUGUUUUGCACUAAGUGUUAUAGUUUAUGUUAGUAUAUGUUAUGGUUUUGUAAUUUUGCAUAUUUCAAUGUAAUUACAACAAUGGUGCGUUAUGUGAUAUAUGGAAUAUGAUACGUGUGAAUAAAGGUUAAUUACUGAAAA